GAUGAACGCUGGCGGCGUGCCUAAUACAUGCAAGUCGAGCGAACAGACGAGGAUCUUGCUCCUCUGACGUUAGCGGCGGACGGGUGAGUAACACGUGUAUAACCUACCUAUAAGACUGGGAUAACUUCGGGAAACCGGAUCUAAUACCGGAUAAUAUAUUGAACCGCGUGGUUCAAUAGUGAAAGACGGUUUUGCUGUCACUUAUAGAUGGAUCCGCGCCGCAUUAGCUAGUUGGUAAGGUAAAGGCUUACCAAGGCAACGAUGCGUAGCCGACCUGGGAGGGUGAUCGGCCACACUGGAACUGAGACACGGUCCAGACUCCUACGGGAGGCAGCAGUAGGGAAUCUUCCGCAAUGGGCGAAAGCCUGACGGAGCAACGCCGCGUGAGUGAUGAAGGUCUUCGGAUCGUAAAACUCUGUUAUUAGGGAAGAACAAAUGUGUAAGUAACUAUGCACGUCUUGACGGUACCUAAUCAGAAAGCCACGGCUAACUACGUG
This 497-nucleotide ribosomal RNA is filed under the name uncultured bacterium. Its description in RNAcentral is "partial 16S ribosomal RNA". It matches the Rfam family "Bacterial small subunit ribosomal RNA", at positions 28 to 507 of the family's 1533-position model. The record is from RNAcentral.